CCUACGGGGGGCAGCAGUGGGGAAUAUUGGACAAUGGGCGAAAGCCUGAUCCAGCCAUGCCGCGUGUGUGAAGAAGGCCUUCGGGUUGUAAAGCACUUUCAGUGGGGAAGAAAGCCUUGGGGCUAAUACCCUCGAGGAAGGACAUCACCCACAGAAGAAGCACCGGCUAACUCCGUGCCAGCAGCCGCGGUAAUACGGAGGGUGCGAGCGUUAAUCGGAAUUACUGGGCGUAAAGCGCGCGUAGGCGGUCUGAUAAGCCGGUUGUGAAAGCCCCGGGCUCAACCUGGGAACGGCAUCCGGAACUGUCAGGCUAGAGUACAGGAGAGGAAGGUAGAAUUCCCGGUGUAGCGGUGAAAUGCGUAGAGAUGGGGAGGAAUACCAGUGGCGAAGGCGGCCUUCUGGACUGACACUGACGCUGAGGUGCGAAAGCGUGGGUAGCAAACAGGAUUAGAUACCCGAGUAGUC
Molecule: ribosomal RNA, 465 nt
Filed under: Vreelandella stevensii
Lineage: Bacteria; Pseudomonadati; Pseudomonadota; Gammaproteobacteria; Oceanospirillales; Halomonadaceae
Description: partial 16S ribosomal RNA
Rfam family: Bacterial small subunit ribosomal RNA
Source: RNAcentral